This 255-nucleotide ribosomal RNA is filed under the name uncultured bacterium. Its description in RNAcentral is "partial 16S ribosomal RNA". It matches the Rfam family "Bacterial small subunit ribosomal RNA", at positions 524 to 776 of the family's 1533-position model. The record is from RNAcentral.
GACGAACCGUGCGAACGUUGUUCGGAAUCACUGGGCUUAAAGGGCGCGUAGGCGGGCUCAAAAAGUCAGGGGUGAAAUCCCCACGGCUCAACCGUGGAAGUGCCUUUGAUACUGUGAGUCUUGAGGGAGGUAGGGGCGUGCGGAACUUCCGGUGGAGCGGUGAAAUGCGUAGAUAUCGGAAGGAACACCGGUGGCGAAAGCGGCGCGCUGGACCUCUUCUGACGCUGAGGCGCGAAAGCCAGGGGAGUAAACGGG